Molecule: long non-coding RNA, 26844 nt
Filed under: Triticum aestivum (bread wheat)
Lineage: Eukaryota; Viridiplantae; Streptophyta; Magnoliopsida; Poales; Poaceae
Description: long non-coding RNA (TAES_LNC006051)
Source: RNAcentral
GCACAUAUGCUUUACAAGAAAAAGAAGGGCCGUCGUCAAGAAGAAGACGCGCACAUUGCACAUGUUGAUUGAUCGCCUUGGCUAAAGAGGGGGUGGUAAUGCUACACUAAUAUUACACGUGUUUUACGGAGUAGUNNNNNNNNNNNNNNNNNNNNNNNNNNNNNNNNNNNNNNNNNNNNNNNNNNNNNNNNNNNNNNNNNNNNNNNNNNNNNNNNNNNNNNNNNNNNNNNNNNNNNNNNNNNNNNNNNNNNNNNNNNNNNNNNNNNNNNNNNNNNNNNNNNNNNNNNNNNNNNNNNNNNNNNNNNNNNNNNNNNNNNNNNNNNNNNNNNNNNNNNNNNNNNNNNNNNNNNNNNNNNNNNNNNNNNNNNNNNNNNNNNNNNNNNNNNNNNNNNNNNNNNNNNNNNNNNNNNNNNNNNNNNNNNNNNNNNNNNNNNNNNAAAUCACACCGUAAAAGGCCCCUGGAUGUAGGAUUACUCCGUAAAGCGUGGUGAAGUGGAGGGAUCGAAUGGAUCACAACGGCGAUGCGGGGUGUAAAGAAACUGUGCGAAUGAACAGUAGUCAAUCACUAUUGAUGGAUGUCGAUGAUGUACAUAUUUAUAUCCCUGGAAGGGACGGGUCGCACAGGCGCGACCUUUACAAGAGAUGGAUCGAAAGAACGCGUCCGUUACAAUAGGACGUGACCCAUAGGGAGAGAAACCGUACAUCGGUUUUGCUAAGCAGGGAUUUCCAUUAAUUAAACUAAUUAAUUAAUCCUAACACUCCCCCUAAUCUCUACUUCAAUUGUUCUUGGCAACAUCAUCAUCAACAUCUUGAUCAUCAUCAUCACGAUUAGUCUCCUCCAAAAACCCUGUAGGAAAAAUAUGAGGAGAUAUGUACAAUAUGCCAUCAAAAACUCCUUCCAAAAACCCAGUGGAAAAAUAAAGAGAAACCGACAUAUCACAAUGCCUGCAUUACUAUUGCCUCAUUAAAAACCUCCCAUAAGAAACCAUUUAGGAAAACUUAUAAAGGAAAAGAGUGCAAUAUUAAAGAUCCGAGGAUCACAAACAGAUUAUCAUUCAGGGAGACACUCCCCCUGAACUUUGCAAAUCCCGAAGUCGUUUCAUACCAAUUCCAUUGAUGUACUUCUCAAAUAAAGAACUUGGUAAUGACUUUGUAAACAAAUCAGCAAGAUUAUCACAUGACUUCGUUUGCAAAAUAUUUAUCUCCCCGGUCUGUUGUAACUCAUGGGGAUAAAAUAACUUAGGAGAAAUAUGCUUUGUAAUAUUACUCUUUAUAUAACCUGUUUGCAUUUGUGUAAUACAUGCAGCAUUAUCUUCAUAGAUAAUAGUGGGUGAUUCCAAUGAUCCAAUCCCACUUGAACUUUCAAUAAAGUUAAUCAUUCUGUAAAGCCAUGCACAUUCACAUGAUGCUUCAAACAAAGCAAUAAUUUCAGAAUGAUUCGUGGAUGUAGCCACCAGAGUUUGUUUUGUCGACUUCCAAGAAAAAGUCGUACCUCCACUCAAGAAGACAAAACCAGUAUGUGAUCUGGCAUUAUGGGGAUCCGAUAGGUAUCCAGCAUCACAAUAUCCCACCAUGGUCUUAUCUUGAUUUUUCCGAUAGAACAAACCAAGAUCUUUGGUGCCUUGAAGAUAUCUGAAAAUGUUCUUCACACCAACCCAAUGCCUCUUUGUUGGUGAUGCACUGAAUCUAGCCAAUAAACUUACUGCAAAUGAUAUAUCAGGCCUGGUGCAGUUUGCUAGAUACAUUAAUGCUCCAAUAGCACUGAGGUAAGGAAACUCAGGUCCUAAAACCUCUUCAUCAUCACCCUUAGGUCUAAAUGGGUCUUUAUCUCUUUCAAGAGAUCUAACAACCAUUGGUGUUUUCGAUGGAUAUGCUUUAUCCAUAUUAAAUUUCUCAAGAAUCUUUUGGAUAUAAGCAGACUGAUGAACAAGUAUUCCUGAAGGAAGAUGUUCAAGUUGUAAGCCCAAAAAAAAUUUAGUCUUACCCAGAUCUUUCAUCUCAAACUCCGUCUUAAGAUGAUUACUUGCCUCAUGUAUUUCUUGUGUAGUCCCAAUGAUAUUUAGAUCAUCCACAUACACAGAAAUAAUGCAAAAUCCAUUCUUAGAUUUCUUAAUAAACACACAUGGGCAAUCACUGUUGUUUGAGUAACCCUUCUGAAGAAGGAAUAUACUCAGUCGGUUAUACCACAUUCUUCCCGACUGCUUUAAGCCAUAUAAUGACUUCUGAAGCUUUACGCAAUACAUGUUGCGAUUAGCCUUUGGAUUCGGAAGCUUCAUUCCCUCAGGAACUUUCAUAUAAAUAUCGAAUCCAGUGACCCAUAUAAAUAUGCGGUCACAACAUCCAUCAGUUGGAUAGACAAAUUCAUUUCCACUGCCAGUGAUAUUAAAUAUCAGAAUGUUGUUCCACUCAUAACAGGAGAAUAUGUUUCAUCAUAAUCGAUGGCGGGUCUCUGCGUGAACCCUUAUGCUACAAGCCUCGCCUUAUAUCUCACCACCUCAUUGUUCUCAUUCCUCUUACGAACGAAAACCCAUUUUGCUCCCACAGGGAACACAUGCUAAGGAGUGGGCAUUACUGCAGUAAAUACCCCUCUUUUUAUGAGCGAGCGCAAUUCAUCCUCAAUUGCUCCCUUCCAUUUGGACCAGUCUGAGCGCUUCAUGCACUCUGCCAUGGACUUAGGUUCUCGAUCCAAACCAAGGCCUUCUGCAAUUCUAGAGGCGGAAUAAAUGUCGACAACUGUAGUCUCUCUACUAUAUGAUUCUCCUGAAUCAAUAUAAUUAAUGGAUAUUUCAUCAAUACCUUUUGAUCCUUCGUAAUUUCCCUCAACAAUUGGAUCAAGGUCUUCCGAUGUCCCAACACCAAAAUUUGUGUGCACACUCGUGUUGGGUUCUGGAUGUCCAACAUCCUUCAGGUGUCCUUCAACCCUAGGUUGAAUAUCAACAUUUUGUUGACUUGCAUUUACUAUUUGAGAAUUCAUCAUUCCCCUUGGACGCUUCUGCAAAGCCUUGUCCUUUGUGUCCAGAUUCCUCCCCCUCUUGGGUGGCUGAGUAGAUCUAUGGGUCACAUUCACUAUCUCUGGCACAUUCAUAGCGGGAACAUUUGAUUUUGUGACACCUUUAUAAUCAGUAAAUGCAUCUGGCAGAUUAUUUGCAAUAUUUUGCAAAUUUAUAAUCUUCUGAACCUCCAGUUCAGAUUCAUUCGUACGUGGAUCUAAGGACUGGAUGCCUUUCACAUCCCAAUCUAUUUCACGGCAUUCUUUGUGGUUAUUCUCUCCCCCUAAUGUCGGGAAAUUGUCCUCAUCAAAAACGCAAUCAGUGUACCGAGCUGUAAAUAAAUCCCCUGUCAGGGGUUCCAGGUACUUAAUAAUUGACGGAGAAUUGUACCCCACAUAGAUCCCCAUUCGUUUAUGAGGGCCCAUUGAUGUACGCUGCGGUGGUGAGAUCGGUACAUAUACCGCGCAACCGAAUUGCCGCAGAUGGGAAAUACUUGGUUGGUUUCCACGUACUAACUGCAAUGGGGAGACCGUAUGAUAUGCAGUUGGUCGAAUUUGUAUCAAUUCUGCAGCAUGUAAAACUGCAUGACCCCAACAUGAAGCUGGAAUAAGACUAUUUUGCACGAGCGGUCUUGCUAUCAACUUGAUUCUCUUGAUAAGUGAUUCCGCAAGACCAUUCUGGGUGUGUACAUAAGGUACUGAGUGCUCCACAGAAAUGCCCAAAGCUAGGCAGUAAUCAUUAAAUGCUCGUGAACUAAAUUCCGUAGCAUUAUCCAUUCGGAUGGUUUUUAUCCUAUGCUCAGGAUGAUUUGCUCUCAAUUUAAUGAUCUGAGCAAUUAGCUUUGCAAAAGCAUGGUUCCUUGUUGACAGUAGACACACAUUUGACCAUCUCGUUGAUGCAUCAAUUAGGACCAUGAAAUAUCUGAAUGGUCCAGAUAAUGGUUGUAUUGGACCACAAAUAUCUCCUUGAAUGCGUUCAAGGAAAUCAAGUUGCUCAUCCUUUAAUUUCAUAUAAGAUGGCCUUGUGAUCAACUUCCCAGUUGCACAUGCUAUGCAUACAAAAUCCGAUGAUUUGGGGAACUUUCUAUCCGUUAUGUUGUGUCCAACAGAACCAUCAAUAAUUUUUCUCAUCAUCCCGAUAGCAGGAUGUCCCAGGCGACCAUGCCAAAUCUUGAACUUAUCAAGAUUCUGAAAAACUAUCUUGUACGCCAUAUGUGUCUCUGGUUUAAUGUAUGUAUAAUACAACCCAGAAGAUAGAGAAGGCAAAUUCUCAAGGACUUCCUUUUGAAAUCCCUUUUGCUGAGUUAUGAGUAGGCAUUCAGCCCCACUCUCAUCAUUAGUUUCCACAUGGAAACCAUUUUUGCGGAUAUCCUUAAAACUCAGCAAGGUACGAGUAGAAUCUGGAUACAGUAGAGCAUCCGGGAUUACCAAUUUAGUACCCAUAGGGAGUGUAAUUGUAGCUUGACCAGAACCAACAAUUACCGUGUCUCGACCAGCAAUUGUCAUGACACUUCCAUUACUCUUCUUGAGUGUCUGAAAAUACUUCAUCUCCCUAAGUAUCAUGUUAGUAGAUGCACUAUCCACUAAACACAUUUCCUCCUCCAUUGUAUUAUUCCUUGAAGUUCUAUAGAGUAAAAGAACAAGGUUCAGUAUAUAAUCAAACUCUUAUAGAAUCAAUACAUACAUUACAAACUAUACAUGUCUUGUACUUAUUACAAGUCCUAUGUCACACGACAUAGCUAACACAUUAUGCCUAAGGACAUAACUUAUUUUACAACACAUGUAAUAUGUCUAAUAACAUCAUUACAAUAUUUAGACAAAUGAGACUAAAUCUGGUCUCCAUAUAUGUCAGUAGAACCAAAUUCCACUAGCAUGUCAUCGACAUCUAGUAUUGGAUCUUCCACUUGCCGAUUUUGCUCUUGGUUGUCCAUGUUCGGAGAAUCCUCUCGAGAACCAUCAACCGUAGGGGUACCAUCUUCAUUGCCAGUGAAGUGUGCUUCAUACUGGUUCCCUUGAGCCUUCUUGCCCUUUCCAAGUGACUGUUGGUACAAUUCCACAAAAUGCUUGGAAGUGUCACACUUCUUUGCAAUGUGUUCCUUACAACCACAUCUGAAGCAACAGGUGUUGCUAGCCCUUUCAUUCUUCUUGAAAGAACCUUUUCCCUUUUGGACGCCAUACUUAUUCUGCUUCUCAUUACGCUUCCACUUUCCAUUGAAUGUCCUACGGUUCUUUUUGGAACCAUUGAACUUUUGAGUAUUCUUAGAGUUGAAGUGUGAUUCAGGCAGAGGCAUCGUUCCUGUUGGACGAGCCAAAUUGUUCUUCUCAAGAAGCUCAUUGUGCUUCUCUGCCUGAAGCAGCGAGUAAAUCAACUCGGAAUACUUCUUAUACUUUUGCUGACGAUACUGUUCAGCAAGUAUCCUCAUAGAAGGAUGGAAAGUAGAAAGCGUCUUUUCAAUAAGAUCAGCAUCAGAAACUGCACUAUUACAUAAUCUCAACUUGGAGUUGAUCUUAUGAACAACAGAAUUGUAUGCAGCUACAAACUUAAAGUCUUGGAAUCGGACUAGUGCCCAUUCCUGUUGCGCUUCAGGCAACAUCACCGCCCUUUUAAGGAGUUCCAGAGUGUCAGAGGGCUCUCCUCCAUCAGAUACUCUGUCUUUAGGUCAGGGUGAAGAUGAUGUCGAAUGAAGUGCAACGCUGAAUACCUUAUUAUGUCUGUUACGCAUGCAGUCCCUUGGGCAGGUGUGGUUAUAGCGGAAUUGAGUCCCUUGGCCGUCAAAUUGAUUUUGACAUCCAUUGCCCAUGUCAAAUAGUUAGAACCAUCGACGGCAAGUUCAGCAAACUCUUUUUCAGAUAUGUCAGCCAUAUCCUGCAUGCAAUCAUCAUGCUUAUUAAUUUACUCUCAUAGUAAAUUAAUUGUGUUGUAAAUAAAACAAUGCAUGUAUAUUGAUCAACAUAUAGCAAUUGCCAAAUUGCCGGAACAUAUACGUUGACAUACAUUGUACUUGUACAAUAUAGUGAUACACACUAAUUACUGAACAAUACAAUAUAGUAAUUUACACAAAUUACUAAAUAACUAGUCACAACUUCAAACUGCUAGUUAAAGAACUAAACAGAAAAAGAAAAACGAAAAAAGGGUCCUGGGUCGCAUACAGGGAGACCCAAACCAGUAGCACAGCCCACUGCUACAGUAUUUUUUUUCAUUUUCCUUCUUUUCUGCGGCUUAGAACUAGGCUUAGGUCGCAGCCCAUCAAGCCUUUCAGCCCAACAGGCCCGGCACCGCUUUAGCGCUGAAUAAAAGUGGUCGACAGUUAGGGUUUCCCCUACCGCCGCCGAUCCCCAUCCCACGUAGUGGCACCCUCCUCUGUUCCUGCCGCCGCGCCGUACACACGCUCACCGGCGAGCCACCGGCGGCGAAGGAAGGGAGUCCUCCUCGUCCAACGAGGGGCUGUAGUCAGGGAUGUCCACUCCAUUCUGGAGUCCGUUGGCGAGUCCGAGCGACGCCGGAUCCCACGCUCCUAGACGGCGUCCAGGACGACGGUCAACGGCGGUGACGGAGCGGCCGAAGAGGAGACGGCGGCUCGCGCCGGUGUUGGGCAGACCUGCGCUGCCGCUCGUUCCGGCGACGUCCGUGGCAGGCGUCCCACCGGUGCCGAAGAGGAAGGGGCCCUGUUCGCCGCGAGGAGCAGGGGAGCGGCCAAACGCCCAUGGGGCACUGCUUGUCCCUGCGGUGGCCAUCUCAGGCCCUGGACCGGUGCUGCCACUUGCUCCGGCAGUGGUGGCCGCGCCCACGGUGGCCAUGGCGCGUCCUGGAGUCGGGAUGAAGACGAGGCCAUCGCCCCUGGCGCUGGCGACGCGCGUCGGAGCUGGGCUGUAGCCGCGUGCAGGUACGUCGUGGACGAUCUCCCGCUCAUCCUCCUCUGCCGGCGUUGGUGACGGCAGACGUGUGCCACUGGAGCGAGCGGGGCACGGGCCAUAUCCGUGCACACGGCACCACCGUGGUGCGGAUGGAGCGGCAACUGGAGGCUCUUGCACGCCCAUCCCAGUGUUCUGCGGUGGUGGAGCAUUCAGUCCGGCAACUAGCCCUGGGUCCAGACCCUGACGGUUGUCAACCGGCGUGGCCAGGCGGUGGUUCUCCGGCGUGGCGCGACGGCGUCGUCCAGUGCCCACGUGAUGGCGGCGUCCUCCAGCGAAGUUCUGGCAGCGGUUAAUGCCAAGGCCAGAAACUGCUGGUGGUGGCCCCAUCGAUGGCGGACGAACCGGCGGCGCUGCUCAGCAAGGAAAUGGCAGCGACCUUCUUCCCAGAGAAGACCAAGGAGAAGGGAGGCGAGAGACGACAUCCUCACUGUUCCAAGUCCUUCUCCGGCGAGUUCCUGUGUGUGGCCUGUCGCUCUCGCUAGUGAGACGUGCGUGAUAACGUGUAAAGAAACUGUGUGAAUGAACAGUAGUCAAUCACUAUUGAUGAAUGUCGAUGAUGUACAUAUUUAUAUCCUUGGAAGAGACGGGUCGCACAGGCGCGACCUUUACAAAAGAUGGAUCGAAAGAACGCGUCCGUUACAAUAGGACGUGACCCAUCGGAUGAGAAACCGUACAUCCGUUUUGCUAAGCAGGGAUUUCCAAUAAUUAAACUAAUUAAUUAAUCCUAACACGGGGUCGCGCUCACCCCCGUCGCGUCGCGUGGUGGCCGGCGUUCGGCAAGGUGGUGGCGCCCGGCACGCAACCGGGGUAUUUUGAGACACUGUAACUGUACGCCUGUAACAGGGAUUUAUUAGGCCGUGAUGGAACGCCUGGACAAUGAAAGAUUCUGAUUGUUGGUUGGAGUCUUCUCCCUCCUUCAUAGCUGCAAGCCUUAUGGCUGAUUGUAAUAAAUUUUCCAUUAUGCAAUAAAGAUCAAUAUUUCUCGUCGAAAAAAAGGAACUUCUAUACAGCGACUUGUGCGCUGGAAACUCAGCGAACGCGACUCUCAGUAAAAAGUGCACAUGUGGCGCUCCCUAGUGUUUGCGAUCUUAUUUUUUAUGGGCGGUUUUAAGCAUAAUUUAUUUUUUUUUCACCCUGCUUUCUACUAAUAUGCUUCAAGAAAAUUAGAAAAAGUUUGCGAUUUUUCAAAAUGUUGUCAAAUUUAACAUUUAGCGGAUUCAGAAAAUGUAUGCGCAUUAAAAAAACUUUUUUGUGAAAUAGGAGAAGUCCAUUCAUUUUUUAAAUCACGAAUUCAAAAAAUGCUCAGCAAUUUUUUCGUCAGUUUGAAUAUUUGUUAUGAAUUCCGAAAACGUUCACGAAUCAAAAAAAAGUUUGCGAACUUGAAAACAUAUUAUAAAUUUUAAAUGUUCACGAAUUUGAAACAUAUUUAUGGAUUCAGAAAUAUUCAUGAAUUUCAAAAAUAUUCCUGACUUCUUGAAACAUGUUUCCGGUCUUAAAAAAUGUCAAAAAUUUCAAAAAAUAUAUCAUCAGUUCGAAAAACGUUUGCAAAUUUAGUAUAUGGUAAAAAAAAUCCAAAAAUGUUCAUGUGUAACAUAAAGCACACGUACGGCACGGCUCGUACGCUUUACAAGGAAGGAGCAUAGUCAAGACGAAGACUUACACAUGGUGAUUUAUAGCUUUUGUCGAGUGGAGGGAUCGAAUCGAUCACGCCGGCGGCGCGGAGUCACGCUCACCCCCGUCGCGUGGUGGCCGGCAUUCGCCAAGGUGGUGGCGCCGGGCACGCACGCACACCGGAUAUUUUGAAACACUGUAGCUGUGCCCGAAAUUCUAUUAGGCCGUGAUGGGACGCCUACACGAGAACUUCUAUACAGCGACCCGUGCACUGGAAACUCAGCAAACGCACCUUUCAGGAGUCGCGUAGGGACGUCUGCUUUUCUUUCUUCCGUUCGAAGAUCAGAUCCACGUGUAUGGAUCGUUUUGUUACUCUCAUAUAGUUUAGGUUUUAAGAUUAUUCAUCGUCUUGCUUCGGCCGCGGCGAUGGCAACACUAAAUAAAGUUUCUUCAAAUCCUAUUCUGAUGAGACGAUCGGUCCUAUGAUUGAAGAUGGAUUUGAAAACUAGUAUGUUCAAGUAAGGACGGCGUGGAUGCAGCGACAUCCUGGUGAUGGAUCUGUGUCCUCGAGCUCCAGCCGUUGCGAUGGUGUUUGCUCCAGCGCCGGCGCGGAGCUUAAGAGGUAGUCCGGGAGUGGAUGCAAAUUGUGGUCUGCAUCGGCGGCAUAUGAAAGAUGGUGGAGGGUGUGCUGGGUUCGUGGUUCGUGGAUGACAGGUAUGGUUUUCUCCUCCGGCGUCUUAUUCGUUCAACGAUAAUGGUUUCGCCGUUGGUGAGCCACCUUGGAGGUCCGCAAAACUGUAUAUCAGCGAUAAAGUCACUUUGAGCUCGAUUGUGAAGAUGAUCCAUCAUUUGUUCAUUUGGUGGCUGUUGUGGUGGUUCCAGAGGCAGGCGAUGGAUAUUCGUGUCAAGUUCAGAGGAUUUUUUGGUCUUGAUUGUAAUUUUACUUUUUUAUUGUUGUUUCUUUGUACUAAACCUAGCGUUAGUUUGUAGUGGCUUGUAUUAUGAUCAUUGUGAUAUAAAUAAGAUAUUACCAUGCAAAAAACACGUCUUUCAGUACAAAGUGCACACGUAGUGCCCCCUAGUGUUUGCAUUGUCAUUUCAUUAUAGCUGGUUGUAAGUGGAAUUUAUUUAUUUCAUCCGGCCGUUUACUCACUUCGAUCUUUCUUAGUCUGCAUAUAAGAUUUAUCCAAGGUCAAACUAUCUUUGCUUCGAUCAAACUUAUAGAAGAAAGUUUCAAUAUUCAAAAUGCCCGAUCAGUAUUAUCAUAUUGUGGUUGUUGAUAUUUUUUAAUAUAAAUUUGGUCAAACUUUGUAAAGUUUGACUUGACAGAAAUCUAAUACGCGGAGUAAAAAGCACCGAAGAGAGUACUAAGAUAGUUCAAAAAAAUUAGACAAAUGUUCGCGAUUUGAGAAAAAUGUCAUCAAAUUUAACAUUUAACAAAUUCAGAAAACGUGCGCACAUUUGAGAAACUAUUUGUGAAAUAAAAAAAUUCAUAAUUUUAAAAAAUCACUUAUUAAAAAAUGCUCAGGAGUUUGUUCAUAAGUUUAAAUAUUUUUUAAGAAUUCCAAAAAAAUGUUCGCGGACUGGAAAACAUAUUCGAGGAUUCAAAAAAUGUUGAUGAAUUUCAAAAAUAUUCGUGAAUUCAAAAAAUAUAUAUGCGAUUUUAAAAAUGUGUAUGAAUUUCAAAAGAAAUAUCAUGAGUUUGAGAAAUGUUCGUGAAUUUCAAAAUAUUCAAAAAUUUCGUAUAUAUUUAAAAAUUUUGAAAAAAAUUCCGUGAAUUUAAAAAUUGUUCAUGAAUUUCUAAAAAAUCACAAAUUUUGUAAAUAUUCAGAGAUGUCAUUUGUAGUCUAUCUCUUUCUAUAUAUGGAAAAUCAAGAAGCUCUCAUUGAAACAUCGAGAAAUUGUGCAUAUUGAAAACUCUAAAGAAAGAAAAAACAAAGACCCAUGCCACGAUUUUCAAAUAUCUUCUAUUUAGUAAUCUAAGUUUCUCGAUGAGGAUAAUUAAUUCGGUUGUUAUGGUUGGACUCUAUUAUAUAUUUCUGACUACAUUCUCCAUAUGCCCCUCUUAGAUCUUCUUUCUCCAAUCUUGGAUUAGGGAAGAAGGGGAUAUUUACGAAUACUGCUGGUUUCAUUAUGGGGCAGCUCACGAUCUUCAUGUCGAUCUAUUAUACACAUUUGCAUUUAUUCUUUCUUAUCUAAACAGAUGGAAGAUCUUUCCAAUUUGGUUAUACUCCCUCUGUUCCUUUAUGUAAGGUGUAUAAUUUUCAGCACGGUGACAAAGACACUUAAUUAUAGACAAGGUAGGACGAAAUUACCCUUGAAAAAUUUGUUGGUUAAUGGCAACUAAAUCAGUUAGUCCAAGAGAUACAUGCAAUCGAUACAGAGAUACUUUUCUUCUUUCGCUACAAAGGGAGAUACAGACAAUCGGUAGAGAGUUACUUCCCUUUUUAUGAAGGGUUAACAAGGGAAUUAUCAUGAAUUAGAAGAAAUGCACCUUACAUUCUGAAAUUUUAUCAAAAAACAAAUACACCAUAUAUAAAGGAACGGAGGGAGUGUUAUAUCAUGGACUCGAAAAUGGAUCUGAAUUUGACAAAAAUGCAUGAUCUUCACACGUAUCAUUUUUCAGGAUACCUAAAAGGUGGAAUAGCGAUUUUCAAACCAUUUCCUAUAAGAGAAUCGUUUCCAUUAUUUUGAGAACUGUAUUCUCAUAUCAAACUACAUCUAUUGUAGUAAAAAACUAAUAGCAGUCAAAGACGUGGAAUGAUAGUGAAUAUAGAGAAAGAUUCUUCUGAUUUUCCUAUUCCUGAAAAUAUUCUAUCUAUCUACUAGAGGUCAUAGAGAAUUGAGAAAUUUCAUGUCUUUCAAUUCUCGUACUCGUAAUUGAAUGUUCUGGAAGGAGACCCAUCAUUGCAAUAAUUUUCAUGAGUUUGAAAAUUGUUUGCAUAUUUUUAAAAAUUGCAAAAAAUUGAAAAUUCUUCAUGAUUUUAAAAAAUAAUUUAUGAAUUGAAAAUUGUUCAUGAUUUAAAACAGUAUUAAUUUCGAAAUCGUUCAGGAUUUCAAAAAAGUUUGUAGGUGUGAAAAAAGGAAAUAGAAAGGAAAAAUGUUUAAAAAAAAGAGAAAGACAAAAUCAAAAGAAAACCAAAAUAAAAACGAAUAAAUCAGGUCAGAGGAGGUUCCCAAAAACCGGUGAAGAAACACACAGUGAAAGCCACAAAAGAGUUUAAAAAGGCACAAAAUGGGUCGACCCAUGUAGCAUCGGUGCCGCUGCAUGGGUGCGCUUUUGCGUGCUAACCGCCGCAGUAUGUGGUAAAUAUGAAUUGCCGCCUGCACUGGCACGUGCAUGCAGUACGGACACAUCUGCAGUUUAUGGUGGCCACAAAGGAAACCACGAGCAUACAACAUAUUUUUCUUCUCGGAAAGCUAUAUAUAUGUCAACUGUCACAGUAGUACAAAGGGAAAAGUUUGUACAUAUGAUAAACUUUAAUAAUAGAUUUGAUUUUUUAAUCAUUAUAAGUAAAAGGUACAUCCAAUCCUUAAACCAUCUAGCGACGUCUAUAAGCAUUGGAGAGAGUCAAAGGCGUGCCAUCAUCAUCGUCCCAACCUCACCCAAGCCAAGAAAAUCUUGCUGUAGUAACAGUUAGGAAGUCGUUGUUCCAAGGCCCCGCAGGACUAGCGCACCAGAACUUCAAUUGCCGUCGAUGAAGAGAAGCGUAGAUGGUAAGGGUCCGACCUAUAAACACAUGAACACAUACGGACAAAAGUUAGAUCCAAGCAGGUCUAGAGUAGACCAGAACAAAAGGAAUGUCGCGAGAUCCGAUGAAGACACAUCUUCACACACCCUCCGACGACGCUAGAUGCACAGCCGGGACGUGGGAUCAGCGCGGGGAACCUCAUUCCAUCUUCACGGAACCACCGUGCAACCUCGCCUUCCUAAGCAUGACACAAACCCUAACUGGCCUUUAAAAUACUAAAAAUAGAGACAAGCUCCCUCCCGUCAGCAGGAGCCUGGGUCCACUGUGCCUAGAUGAUCCUAAGACCACAGGAGACGAGGCAGACCGAUGGCGGCGCCGACGAAAGAGAGGAACCACCAACUUGUCCUUGAGUUUCUAGCGGUGGCUGAGCAAACCCUUGAGCAUGGGACAUAUUAUUUAUACCUAGCAUUUCGAAUGGCAAAAGAUGUUACUUCAUCUAUCUAUUAUAUACUAAAAGUAAAAUAUUGAUACAUACAAAGAAUUAGAUUAAAAGUUUCCAAAAGAUUAGGAAGACCAAACCUUUAAUUUAUUGUAGACUCCACAAAAGUAACAAUCACAAUCGUCUGACCUCUGUGCUCCUUGUAUUGCGUGUGACCCAAUCUUCUCCACCAUCAUGUCGCCUUGAUCAUCCUCGUAUCUACACCCCCACCGCUAUAGCCCUAGAUAGCAUCGUCUCCUCCACAACACUUCCCUGAUGCUCCUACUACUACAUCAUGAGUACAAAAUACAUACUGAAAUUGUGACAACUGAGGCCACAACUCAUCAAAUGCCAAGUAUUGUGAACCAACUGGAGCCUAUAGAACAAACUACAUACUAAAACUAUAUGUAUAAUAUGAAACCAUUGAAAAAUUACAGCAGCAAAGGAGAUAUGUGCACCAAAAAGAUUUUAUUGUAGAACCUUGAUGGAAAUGAGACUUGUCAGCCCAAUUAUUUUGUAGAGUGACGAUUCUGAUACAGAACCGUGCAAAAGAAUUAUUGCCAGCGGCGGAGCCAGUGUAGCAACGUUGGGUUCACUUCAACCCAACGGAUUUUCUUGACCAACUAUAUAUAGGUAUGUAUUCACUUGACUUGAACCCAAUAAAACCCAUCGAAUGUGACGUGGACAACUAAAUAAAAGGACCAAAACCAUGAGCAAUGACUAUACACACAUGCCUAAUUAAACCGUGACUUGAUUAGUCACGUACGUUGUUGUAUAAGCACGUCAGCCGCACGCCUCAUAUGUCGUCUCUUAUCUGUAGGUUUUUUCAACUCGCAUCUCGUAUAUGUUUGUGUAUAGCUCGGCCGGCGGACUCAGGGGCAAGUAGAUCGCUGCAGAUCCACAACGGCAAGGUGGUAAUUGUAGCCCCAAAAUUGAGAUAAUUAAUAUUGCCAUAUCUCCUUCCUCUUGUGCGUGUUCUAUCUGGCCUAAUAGCCUAGUGUGAUAAUAAAUAUUUUUUCCUUGCUUUCUAAUAUAUGUUUUCUCCAUGGACUUUGAUUGAUCUAUGCUAUGGGAGGUAUUAAUCAAAGAGAAAUCUGUCACCAAAUUCUAAUAAUGACGCAGGCACGUCAAGGUCACCCAUUAGAAGUAGGCAAACUGCAUCAAAUGUCACCGCAGCUGGUCUCCUGAAGCCUUCUAUUCAUAGAGAAAUUAUUCUAGAUGAGUGGCCUUAUGAUCCGGCUGAUCGAAAGAGAAUUUCAUAGUACAUGAGAAAUUCUAAUAAGAAGCAAGAUAUGAUUAUGUAAAGACACUUAACGAGAGGACCUUACAGGCCACCGCUUAAUUUUGAUUUUUCGUAGAGGGAUGUUGGUGAUACUCAACGGAGACUUAAUCCAAACUAGUUUGAUGCAUAUGGGAGUUGAUUGAGUAUAAUGAAAACCAUGCAGCGGGUGACAUGUUUCUACGUACAUACGUGGUCAACCGGCUACCUGUUAUGCGCUGACUUUCAUUGUGAAUUAAGGUGGCACGCAGCGGCCGUGUGAGUGUGUACCUGUAGCCGGCUAGGUGUAGUAUUGUCAGAUCAAGUUGCUUCACUGGCAUGGUAACAACAAGAAGAAAACAAAUUGGAAUAUUCUCGUCUCUCCUUUAGACCGGCAAUUGUUGUUCAAAAUAUUGGUACGAUAGCACAUCCUCUCUGUAUUGUGCAAGUCUUACCUAGCCCUAAUGGUUUUUCUUGACCCUUGAUUGAGUCAUAGAAGGAUGCUUUGCUUAAUUAUAUUUAUUUAUAACUGGAAAAGUCGACAUGCCAUUUUUUCCCCUGGAAGACGUAAUCAAGCUGCAGAUGAAACUACAAGCUGUUCGUUACAUAUUAAAGGGGUUUUUACAUUUUCAUUCAAUCGAUAUUUAUUUAACCUGUAGUUUUAUGUAAUUAUUAUAUGUGGUAUGAUAUUUUGGUUCCUUAUUUUCUUUUCUUUUGAGUGUUAAAUCAUAGUAUUAGAUUGUACAAACAAUCAGUGNNNNNNNNNNNNNNNNNNNNNNNNNNNNNNNNNNNNNNNNNNNNNNNNNNNNNNNNNNNNNNNNNNNNNNNNNNNNNNNNNNNNNNNNNNNNNNNNNNNNNNNNNNNNNNNNNNNNNNNNNNNNNNNNNNNNNNNNNNNNNNNNNNNNNNNNNNNNNNNNNNNNNNNNNNNNNNNNNNNNNNNNNNNNNNNNNNNNNNNNNNNNNNNNNNNNNNNNNNNNNNNNNNNNNNNNNNNNNNNNNNNNNNNNNNNNNNNNNNNNNNNNNNNNNNNNNNNNNNNGUGUGAGCUUAGAUUGGAUGUUUUUAGGAAACUCCUCCACUGCAUACAAUAGUUUGUUCAUACCUAAAUCCUUAGUGAACCCAGUUUAUGAUCGUGUUGGCUUUCUUGAGCUCAUUUGCGAUCGUGUUGUUCGGUCUCUUUAAUCGCUGGACAGUGGUCUACAGAGUGCAAGGGUUGCAGUUUGUAGAAGAAGAAUCAGACUGUUUAGCAAAAUAAUCUUAUAUAACUACACUACGAUCAAGAUGAUAUCGAUGGAUAAUUAUAUGUUAUCGAUUUUUCUGUAGAAAUUAGGGACUAAGGAGUAGCUUGAUUGUUGUUCAGACUUUAGAAGGGUGGAUGUGGAGCUCUGCAUUUUAUCUUUGGGAGUGAAUUUAUUUUUGAGCACACACAGCUAUGUCACCUCACACACACUAAUUAACAUAUCCGUUAAGUUAUUUUAAAGCAUAUACUAGACCAUGUUGUGCAUUGCCGCGCCCGUCAUUUUUUGGCAAGAAUUUUCAUUUGAUGUAUAGAGCCAUGGAACAUGUAGAUUAAAUACAUACAUACCAGAAGAAUAAGUUGUUUAUUUUGAUGAUUGGUUAUUACUCUUUGAGGGAUAUAUCAGAUAACUGAUGGUAACAAGAAAAAAUAAAUAAAUAAAAAACUUAGCAAAGCAUACAUUUGAUCUAAGUUGAGACUUGAGAGCAGACAAAUUAAUCCGCCAACUAAGUACAUAAUGCCUCCCAGCGAGAUAAUGGCCUACUCUUUUUUACUGAAAAGGGGAUCCGUGCAAGAAAUUUAAAUAAGUCAAGGAAAAUAAACCAAUAAAUUAAGGACAAACUAUGUAUAGAAUAGAAAUAAGUUGAGCAAUCAUUCCAAGGCGAGGAAUAAAAUGGCAUCAGCAAGGAACUUAUGGCUGUUAAAUGCAUCCAGCUGUGACAAGACUGAAUUUAUAAAGUAAAGCGUUACCCAUUUCAAAAUCAAGUUAACCCCAAGUUCACAUUCACUUGAUCCCUGGAUGGAAAUGAUAAAAGAAAAAAAAAAUCAAAACCACUCUCGACACAGUCCACUUCCAAACAAAUGACAAGAGCUUCAGACCUUGAACUUAUAUAAGUGUGUCAAAUACAUGUAUUGGAAUUAACUUGAUGCAUUCAACUGAGUAAAGAAAUUACAUCUCUGGAUCAUCCAAUUUGUCAUUGUACUUUUUUCUGCGAGAAAACUUUCGAUCUAUUCAUCAAUCAUGACAGUACAACGAACAUCAGGAUAAUAAAAAUUACAUUCAGAUCCGUAGACCACCUAGCGACGACUACAACCACUGAAGCGAGCCGAAGGGGUGCCGCCGUCAUUGCCCCUCCCUCGUCGGACCCGGGCAAAACUUGUUGUAGUAGACAGUCGAAAAGUCAUUGUGCUAAGGCCCUAUAGGAUCAGCGCAACAGAACAGCAACCGUCGCCAAUGAAGAGUAGCGUAGACCGGAAGGAUCCAACCUGAAAACACAUGACCGGAGACGAACUACAAUCAGAUCCGAACAAAUCCACCAAGGACAGAUCUGCCGGAGACACACCUCCACACGCCCAUCGAUGAUGUUAAACACACCAUCGAGAUGGGGGCUAGGCGGGGAGAACCUUAUUCUAUCUUCAGGGAGCCACCGCCGUCUCGUCUUCCUGAGCAGGAUGCAAAUCCUAACAAAACACGAAGAAACCACUGAAAACAGACCCCUCCCGCCAAAAAAUGCUCUAAGAACAUUUUAUUUAUGAACAACAUUCUGCGACACUAACACAUAUGCAAAUGGAACAACGGAUCAUACAUUAGCAGCAGUUAGCUUCUCCACCCGCAAUGCAUGCAAGACAUGCUUCUCGAUUAGUGGCCUGACCUGAGCAAACAAAUGGACACAAAUUAGAUCAAUGUGAAUAUGAGCUUACAAAUAUUUAUCUUGUGUUGCAGACCACUUAUUAAACACACUUGGCAGAAAAAAAAACUGUACAACUUACAACACCAAAUCAUUGAUUAAAGAAUGUUGUAGUCUUGAUUCAGACACACUCACAGCAAGCAACAUGUUUGGUAAGCUGUACCUGAGCAAAAAAGCAUUAACCCUGCAUGUCCAUAACUGUUUCAAACAUGCAUGGAUAUGCUGACCGAUUGCAGAGUAACAUGAUAGGAAGAAAAUAAAAUUACCUGCAAACAGAAAAAGUUGGUCUCAUGUCUCACAAGGCUGCAGCUACCUUCUAUAAUGAAAAACGUGAACCUUGCUCACUUCAACAAAGGAGGAAGGGGAUCUGGGUGAUUUUAUUUUCAAGGGGAUAAGGAUAAUUCUCGUUUUGAGUGGGUUGGGGAGGAGAGUGGAGAAGGCAUGACUGGUGAGGGAAUGCGGAUGGCUACGAUCUUGGACGGCAGUGUGGCUGUGCGCCAGUUCGUUGGCGUCACGGUGGGUAAGAAGGUGUGUCACAAUGGGCGCUGCCGCUGGAGGUCUAGAUUGACAGCGGAGUGCUCCACUCGAGGCCGAGAUCAGGGGAGAGGGCCCUGAUGGCCUGCUCCAAGCAUAUAGCCUUCGCUCCUUGUCUCCACCAUCGAUUGGUCACUCAUGUUCAACGAGCGGAUGACGAGUCCUUCAUCCAAAGGCACAGACGACGGUUUUAGGACGGAUGGAAUCAAGCAUGGAAGGGAAACCGACUGGAACGGUCUAGCGGUAAGGGAAUGGAGCAUCUGCGGCUAGGGCUGCAAACGAAUCGAGUUCGAGCGAGUCGAACUAGGCUCAGAUCAACAUAUACUAAAACUCGAGCAAGCUCAAACUUAGUUAAGCUCAAGGUCGAGCUGUAGAAAGUGACUCAUGCUCAGCUUAUAACGAUCUCGAGUCAUUCGGAAGCAAAUUUCGAGCUAAAUAACAUGAUAAUUCUUAAUCUAAGACAAAUUUUCUAACAAGAUAUACCACAACACAACAUAAAAAAUCACUAUAAAAUAAUAUUCCAAUCAAAACAUGGUAAUAUAAAUUUUAACACAGCAAGCGACCAUGGAUGGGCAAGUAAAGAAACGAAAGUGCGUCAGCUCUCAAACUUGGCCAAAAAUAAUAGGAUAUUUAACACACGGUCUGCAUAUUGAGGCCUAAGUUUCCUCUACCCUUAAUUAAGCUUUCAUGUUUGCUAGUCCUAGUAGAUAAAAGAGAUCUCUAGAUAAAAUGGAGAAAAAUCGUACACAACAUAUAUGUGGUAAUAAAUUAUCCUACUCCUUUCUACCAUAUAUCAUGAUUAUUUAAUAUCAUUAUAUUAUGUUAAACUAAAAUCAAGCGAGCCGGUGUUAGCUCAAGAUCAUCUCAUUCCUCCUUCGAGCUAGAUAAAUUGUUCAUACUUGGCUAAUUUAUUUUCGAGUCAAGUCAAAACACGAGUCGAUCUUGAGCGCUCAUAAGCCUCGAGCUUUCCUUGUAGCCUACCUGCGGCUGGGUGCCAUACUUUUUCCUUUCUACCAUAUAUCAUGAUUAUUUAAUAUAAUUAUAUUAUGUUAAACUAAAAUCAAGCGAGCCGGUGUUAGCUCAAGAUUAGCUGAUUCCUCGUUCGAGCUAGAUAAAUUGUUCAUACUCGGCUAAUUUAUUUUCGAGUCAAGUCAAAACACGAGUCGAUCUUGAGCGCUUAUGGGCCUCGAGCUUUUCUUGUAGCCUACCUGCGGCUGGGUGCUAUACUUUUUCCUUUCUACCAUAUAUCAUGAUUAUUUAAUAUAAUUAUAUUAUGUUAAACUAAAAUCAAGCAAGCUCGUUCGAGCAAGAUAAAUUGUUCAUACUCGGCUAAUUUAUUUUCGAGUCAAGUCAAAACACGAGUCGAUCUUGAGCGCUCAUGAGCCUCGGGAUUUUCUUGUAGCCUACCUGCGGCUGGGUGCUAUACUUUUUCUCUGCAUGAGAGGGCCACGUGUUGACGACAACUCAGCCUAACAAAUGGGAGCUCCAAACCGGCGCUCUCAGCGCCGGUUUAGGUUACUGGCGCAUGAAGUGUCACGCUACUGGGCCGGCCCAACUAAACUUCAAAUGAUUGCAGCGAACGUGACGCGAAAAUCUUGCCGAACCGAUUCUAGUUGGUCUGGUUGAUUCGGAAAAAAGUUGGCUGCUUGACUAGUCCAGCGUUAACUUCAAAAAACAAAAAAAGAGCAAAAUCACAAUAUAUGAAAAAUUUUGUGAACUUGAAAAUGUUCCAUGGAUUUCAAAAUAAGUUCAAAGACUUAAAAAAAUAUCAAUUUGAAAAAAAAAGUUCAUCGAAUUUGAAAAAAAGUUCAUCGGUGCUGAAAAAAGUUCAUCACUUCUGAAAAAGGUUCGUAGGAUAUGAAAAAAGUUCACUUUUUCUAAAGUUUACCUAUUUUCCGAAAAAGUUCAUCAAUUUUUUUAGAUUCAUCAAAGAUGAUAAAAGUUCACCAAAUUUGGAGAAAAAAUCAUCAAUUUUGAAAAAAAUUCGUCAAAUUUGAAAAAACAAUCUCAAAGUUAAUUUUUUUUACAAUUGUUAGAAAAUUAAAAAUGAAUACGAGAGAAAAAAGAAAAAGAAGAUACCAGAAGAAAACCGACCAAAGCAAAAAAGAAAAAAAAAAGAAAACAGGGAAAAUGUAACGUUGUUUAUUAACAUAUUGAAGAAGCUAAAGGACUUUUAAACAUCACAACAACGGGUGGCCGAAUGGUUACCAUUGUUGCCCUGUGCAUAGGAUUCUUGACUUCAAAUCAUAACCGGUGCAAGCAUUUUGAAUCUUAACAGUAGAGAAAAAAAGUUUAAAUGGGCUGGCCCAUGGCGUAAGGGCAGUGUGCCCAAACAAACUCGAAAUCACUAAUUGAGGAGUACUUUGCAAUGAGUACUCCUCUAACAAACUCGAAAACGGAUCGAGAUUUGGACGCACGGUUUAUUUCGUUUUCACCGCUAGAUUCUCGCGUCGAGAUCUUCAAAACUAGAUCCCAUAUUGAUAGGUUUUGACGAAUAUUUUUUUAUCAAAAAAACGAACGAAAAAACCGAACCAGGAGCACGUGUUUUUUCCCUUUCCAAAAAAGGCACGCCCGUGCCUCUCGUAAAAUCACAACCGUGCCUCUCGUGAAAGCAAAACUGUGCCUCUCACGGAAGGAAGAAAAAGAAAAGAAAACACAUUUUUUUCCUUUUCUGAGGAGGCACGGUCGUGCCUCUCGCGAAAGCAAACCGUGCCUCUCACGAAAGGCAAAAAAACAAAAAACACGUUUUUUUUCGUUUCCAAGAGGCAUGGACGUGACUCUCGCGAAAGGAAAAAAAACAGAAAACGUGUUUUUUUUGUUUCCAAGAGGCACGGCCGUGACUCUUGCGAAAACGAAACCGUGCCUCUCAUGAAAGCAAAACCAUGACUCUCGUGAAAGAAAAAAACACGUUUUCUCGCGUAAAAAAAUCGAACUUUGUUUGUUCCAAAAGCUAAAAAAAACUAGUGGAAAAGCAAAACGUCGAAAAAACGAGAAAAAACUGUUUAAAAAGCUAAAAACGUGUGCGAAAAAAAUAAAAAAAUAAAAUCCGGAAGAAAAGCCCAGAGCACGACACGUGGCGGGCAGCUGAGAGCGCGUCAAUGGCGCUGAUCGUUGUGAGGCUUCCGAAGGAGCGCUUAUUAAUUAGUUGCUUCCUGAACUCGAAAUCACUAAUUGAAAUUACGUGCAAAACAAACGUGUUUCUGCAGCGUUACUUGGGCUCGUUCGCCUCCGCUCUUAUUGGCGCCCACUGCAUAGUUGUUGGUGCAAACCGGCGCAUACUCUCUCCUCCUUUGGGCUUUGCCCAUUAAUAUAUUUUUGGUUCGGAAACGGUUGUAGCGCACAUUCCUGUUCGGUGCGUGCAAUUCCUGUUUUUUCGGAAGUGAACCCAGCCGGUUUUGUGAAGCUCCUAGAAGCUUCCGACAGGUUUUGAGAUGCUUCUAACCGUUUUUUUCCUUUUCUGUUUUUUUGUUUUCUAGACGAUUUUUAUUCUUUUUUCUUUUCCUUUCCUUUUUAUUUUAUUAAUGGCGUUAAGUCUUUUUAAAUUUAAAAACUUAUUUCAAAAUUUUGAACUUUUAGGCACGUUUCCUCAUAUUUGUAAUUUUUUGAAUGUUUUUAUUUAAAUUCGUGAUUUAAAAAAUAUUCGUGAACUUAUUUUCAUUUUUUGAACUUUUUUUACAUGCAUGAAUUUUAUUUGAAUCCAUGAUUUUUUAACUCGUGAACUUUUUUUAAAUGGCGAAGUCUUUUCAAAUGCAUGAAAUUUCUUUUGAACACUUGAAUUUUUUAGAGUUCAUGAACAUUUUUUGAAUCCAUGAACUGUUUUUGAAUCCCAUGAAUUUUUUUGAAUGUAAAUGUUUUCGAGUUUCUGAGCUAUCUUUUGAGUUAUUUUUUUUCUAAAUCAUAUUUUUCUUAAAAAAACUGGUCAACGGUCGACCGGUCGAAAGCGACAAGCAAAACAAAAAAAACAGCGUUGGAUCUGGAUGCUCUGUUGUUCCAGUGCUCGCCUCCAUAUGUGGGCCGACUCACGUGGAGGUGCGUGUGGGCACCGUUACCCUCGCCGACUCUCAGGGCGGUUGGGGGCGNNNNNNNNNNNNNNNNNNNNNNNNNNNNNNNNNNNNNNNNNNNNNNNNNNNNNNNNNNNNNNNNNNNNNNNNNNNNNNNNNNNNNNNNNNNNNNNNNNNNNNNNNNNNNNNNNNNNNNNNNNNNNNNNNNNNNNNNNNNNNNUGCUGGUCAGAGCAUCACAUUGCGACCAACGUCUACGAACUCGAAAUGACGUUUGCGUCGUUCCUUGUUUUCAUUUUAAAAUUUUGAAAAAAAUUGAAACUAUUUCCAUGGAAACUUAUAUGUGUUCCGCAUGGUCGCAUGAAAAUGCAUUUGCAAAAAUUGUGAUUUGUAGACUGUACAAAGAAAAAUCCGGCCCAACAACAAAAAAGGUCGACCCAUUUUGAAAAUACAUUUUUUUGUCUUUUUUUGUGUACGCUAUGUGUCAAAGUAUAAUGUUUGCAAAUUUUGGAUAUACAUGUGUGUUUCUAUUCAUAUGAAAUUUUGAAAAAAAAUUGAGCCGUGAAAAUUUGUUUUAAAGGCGUCUACCACGGUGGUGACCAUUAGCAUUUUUCGCAGAGUAUAGGCAGGCUACUUCAAACUGAAAUAGAUUGUGCACUUUUUUCUAGCUCAAGUACAACACAUUGAUAUCAUCAAUGGUUAUACGAGAGGCGAGCUAAUUUAUGGCCUUGUGCCAUUUUAUACUAUCAUGUUUGGUUCAUCUCUUCAUGCAUGAUCAAUCUACAUCAUUUUUCUCAUAUGAAAUACCUUUGAAUCAAAAAGGCUCUAUAAAUGUUUGUUUUCUCAAACUGCUUUACAUUAUUGUUUACGUAUUUGUCUGUAUAUUAUGGAAUGGAUCUAGAGCAUAGCCGUUGCAUUAUGUGGUAUUUGUGUAUGUUCAAUACAAUGCUUUUCUAUAUUGAUGAAAAUGGUAAUACACUGGCAUAGUGGGUUAGUAUGUAUAUCUGAGUGCCUGCGCAUGAAUCGUUUUGAUCAUCGUUAGACAAAGUUGUAAGCAUCGGGAUUAGAAAAGGUGCAUGUUCUUGUAGGACUCAGAAGUUGAAGGACACCAAGAGAUAGUAGUUGUUGUGCCCGGGAUUUAAGUACACAAUUGGUGAAGGGUUAUGACAUAAUCAGAAUUCAAGCAUUCAAGUUUCAAGGUAGCACGGACUCGAGAACUGCAUUGCAUAAAAUGGAGUUGCAAAAGCCACUUUGAUAUCUUAACCGCUUAUUGUCAUCACUCGGCAAGUUCUUCUUUAAAAGCAUUUUUCUUCUUGAGAAGAGUAAUUGUGAAAGCUCAUGAGGUGAGUAUGUUUGGAAGUUAGAUCUUUUCGGAAUGCUCUAUUGAAAGUAUUCUCAUUGUGCAUUGGGUACCUUGUCCAACAUUUCCAAUGCAUUCUGGCCCAAAUGAAAGGUCAAUGGUACAUGUAAUUUGUCAAAGCUUUGUAAUACAUGAUUACCGCAAAGUUUAAACCUCGGGGUUUCAAAGGCACCUCGAAGCAUCAACAAAAUGGUAGAGUAGGUUGAAUUGAAAGAACCGGGAGCAAGAAAGGCUCGUUGAGGAUACUAGAUAAUACCCGGCGAGUUGCCGCGAGAAGGAAUUGCAAUAUAUUUCAGUGAUUUGAUCGUACGAAGCUUCUAUUGUUGAAUUAAUAUUAUAUGAACUAAAGCUAAAAAUAAAUUUCAUAUAUUGGAAUUGAUUGUGUAGUUAGAACAUAUUUUGAAUAUAAGUGGCAUAACGUAAUGGAUUUUUUUCAUGCAUGUUGAGCGGACCUUUGAUGAGGUGGCGUGUAUGGGAACUGAAAAGGGUGCAUGAGAUCAAUUAAUAAUGGAAAACUUUGCCUCAUGCAUGUAGUGGUGGGCCUUUGAUGAGGUGGCAUGUGUGCAUGUUGAGAUAAAUAGGAUAGUGGGGAUCAACUUCUUAUGUAUAUAGGAUAUAGGAUAAGGGAGUUAAGACUUACUCGUUAGACAAAGUUCAGAAGUGGAAGAAUGUAUGUGCCGCCGUUGCAACGCACGGACAAUUAACUAGUCUAGAACAUAAAAAAAAUACCCCUGCCUCUAUUUUUUUAGAAUCGCCUCUUUUUUUUUUUUUUGAGUAGAACCCCUGCCUGCCUCUUGUUUUAACCUGUGGCCUGUGGGACGUACCAGUCCAAGUAGGCGAUUAAUCCAGCCGCGUGCGGCCCAACUACUCCUGUCACGCUCAGGGCCGUGCUACUGGGGGUUCAAGGCCCUCGACGUGCCAAGUCAGCCGCUUAAACAAACAGUCUCAGCAAGACGAAGCCACGGCCCGCGGCCUGGCCACGUGGUCCGCUCCCGGUCCAGUCUCCACGAACGCAGGAACCGACCGAGCGAAUCCUCCUCUUCCUUCUCCUCUUUCUCCCCCCCUCGCGCGCCGGUAUUCUCCCCCCUCCCACCCACGGCGCCGCAAAAAUGGCCUCGUGCGGAGGAGCCGGCGGCGAGGCGGCGGGGGCGGACGCGGCGAGGAGGGGCGUCGGCGUUGGGAGAGGGAGUGGGAUGCGGCUGUUCUCGCCGGAGUACUACGCCCUGUGCUUCGGCGGCGGGAUGCUGGCGGCCGGCGCCACCCACCUCGCCAUCACCCCGCUCGACGUCCUCAAGGUCAACAUGCAGGUACACGUGCGCUCGCCGCUGUAUGUUGAACCCUGCGGGGAGGGAAUGCCGGUGGGUUCGCUAAUUAGGAUUAUUCUAGCUGGCGAGAGGGAGAAAUGGUGCUCGCUCGAGGUCGAAUUACAGCGUGCUCGAUGCAGCCCGGGAUUCUUCCUGCGUGGACGAUCUCGUGCGAGCUCUGACCUAGUAUUUGAGUGUAGCAGGCCAUAUAUAGCUUGUAUAAACUUGGUAUCCUUUUAGCUCCUGGCUGAAACUGCUCCCGUGGAGAGGCUUAGCCAUGACCAAGUUUGCCUACUCCUGUAACGAUUUUACUCGGCAACGGUAGAAGAAACAUCAGAAGCUGGGGGGUCAUGUCAGAUUGCACACAAACAAGUGUAUUGUAGCUAGAACUGAAGACAUGUCCCUUUGUUGAUCUUAAAAGACAAGGCCCUUAUGUGUAUCUUGUAUGGAGACCUGUAAUAAUACUGCCAUGUCCACUUUAAUUAAUGCCUUGCGGUUUUCUGCUGCCUCAGAAAUUAUCCUAUGAAUGCCUGCGGCUGUAUAAUUUUGUUCCGUUUAUCUAUUUUUGGUAGGUGAAUCCAGUUAAAUAUAACACUAUAUGCUCGGGACUGAGUGCUCUUGUACGAGAAGAGGGCGCUUCGUCGCUUUGGAGAGGCUGGGGAGGGAAGCUAUUCGGCUACGGCGCUCAGGGCGGCUGCAAGUUUGGCCUCUACGAGUUUUUCAAGAAGCAGUAUUCUGAUGCGCUGGUGGACAGCAACAGGAGCACAGUUUACUUUCUUAGCAGCGCCUCUGCUCAGAUCAUAGCUGAUGUUGCCCUCUGCCCCUUCGAAUCGGUGAAAGUCCGUGUGCAGACACAGCCCAUGUUUGCAAAAGGUUUGGUCGAUGGCUUUCCAAGGGUGUAUGCCGCUGAGGGCUUGUCUGGGUAAGCUUCCUUCGUAUUAUUCUUAGGUUCAUUAGAUUCACUAUUGGUAUGCCUGGACAUACGAUCUUUAAUCUUCCUGAGUUCUAAAUUUAUGGAAAGUGCAUUUCUUGUUCAUUGCAGAUUUUACAGGGGGCUUUUACCACUUUGGGGACGAAAUCUUCCAUGUAAUAACUCCCCCUGUUUCACAUAUUAAUUGUUCGCAAAAUCCUAUUGUGCCAAUUAAAGUAACGUAUCAGGAAGUUAUGAGUGUAUUAAUUUUCCCGCUUAGAAGAUAAAUCUAGUUAGAUAUAUGGUGUAGGUAUGUUCUUCUAAAAAUAGUUGUAGCUAUUACAGUACUAGAGUGAAUUAAAUCUUGCUUGGUUCCCGGUUUUAUCAGAGUGAAUUAAAGGUACCCCUCUGUAAAGAAAUGUAAGACUGUUUAGCACACUAAACACUAAAGUAGUGAGCUAAACAGUCUUACAUUUCUUUACAGAGGGAGUACUUGUUGCUUGAACUGUAAAAAGGGACUCCAUGAGUUAAGUGUGAGAGGCAAACACAGGUUGCAUUUAUAUCACAAUAGUCAAUAGUGUCCACCUUUUGUCUUGUGAUGGUCAUUUGUUCUACUCAGUGAGCUAGGAACAAUGACAGUCAGUCUGCUUCUGAUACAUGGAAAGUUAUCUUUAUGUUAUAAUUGAACCUUUCCCCAAGUUAAUUAGUCCAUGUACAGGUUUAGUCACCUUUUUUCUGACAUGUACAGGUUUAUCUUAUCCUAUUUUAUUCUCCUGCAGUUUCUAUGAUAAUGUUUUCGUCAUUUGAGCAUACCGUCGACUUCCUAUACCAGAAAGUCAUUCAAAAGAAGAAACAGGAUUGUUCAACAGCGCAGCAGCUUGGUGCUACAUGCCUGGCUGGAUAUAUUUCUGGUGCUGUUGGUACUGUUGUUUCAAAUCCUGCAGAUAACAUCGUCUCUUCUCUGUACAACAAAAAGGCUAAAAACGUUCUACAUGUAAGGAUGCGACUGUACCUGUCCAGCCAACAGAUUAGUUAAUUUCAAGUCUUGACACUCUGUUCCUAUAAUAAUCACAUUGUAUCCCUUUCAGGCUAUAAAAAGCAUUGGAUUGCGUGGGCUGUUCACAAGAAGCCUGCCCAUUCGAAUUACCCUUGUAGGGCCUGUCGUGACCAUGCAAUGGUUCUUCUACGAUACCAUUAAGAUAUUUACUGGAUUGUAAGUGUGCACUUCGAUGGCUGGAAUAAUUUCCUUAUCUUCUUAUCUACAGACUGUAUUUUCUGUUGUUGGUAGCUCUUAUCUACAGACCUUUUCUGUUGUACAUUCUUGAAAGCUCUCUUGUGGAUAGCAUUGUCAUGACUGUUGAUCUGUUUAUUUCAGGCCGCCCAGUGGAGGGCUUCCUCGUGAUCUGGAAAAACUUGACACGUAAUAUGACCUGUUCUACAAAAGUUUAUCGAUACAUUUUUUUGUUUCUCAGAGGCACUCAGCAGUAUUUUACCCACAGUUCUGAGUUCUUGCUGAUUAUGACGAAUGUGAGUGAUUUGUAGUUGUAGGGAACAGUAGCUAACUGAGCCGUAUGAAGGAUUUGUAUGUUCUAGACGCAUCUUAGACAACCAUAAGUCCAUGAACUUCAGCACCCGUUUGGCACCUUGGUUACAGACUUACAGCCUGGUGUGUUUUCAGGAUGCUUUGUAGUAUCUCCAUUUCGAAGUUAGUUGUGUGAGAAAAUGUCAUUUUGUCGUGCAUGCAAACAAUCGGCUAUAGAUCCAUUGUAAAUAAUGCCGCGAAGGAUGAAAACUGGAAUCAUAAUAUUAUGUGUGAUGUUACUCUUCUUUAUUUGUUUGUAGUAGUGAUCAAAUUCCCUUGCAAGUUGUCAU